RNAcentral lists this ribosomal RNA (515 nucleotides) under uncultured bacterium. RNAcentral's name for it is "partial 16S ribosomal RNA". It matches the Rfam family "Bacterial small subunit ribosomal RNA", at positions 28 to 523 of the family's 1533-position model. The record is from RNAcentral.
GAUGAACGCUGGCGGCGUGCCUAAUACAUGCAAGUCGAGCGAAUGGAUUAAGAGCUUGCUCUUAUGAAGUUAGCGGCGGACGGGUGAGUAACACGUGGGUAACCUGCCCAUAAGACUGGGAUAACUCCGGGAAACCGGGGCUAAUACCGGAUAACAUUUUGAACCGCAUGGUUCGAAAUUGAAAGGCGGCUUCGGCUGUCAAUUAGGGAUGGCCCCGCGUCGCAUUAGCUAGUUGGUGAGGUAACGGCUCACCAAGGCAACGAUGCGUAGCCGACCUGAGAGGGUGAUCGGCCACACUGGGACUGAGACACGGCCCAGACUCCUACGGGAGGCAGCAGUAGGGAAUCUUCCGCAAUGGACGAAAGUCUGACGGAGCAACGCCGCGUGAGUGAUGAAGGCUUUCGGGUCGUAAAACUCUGUUGUUAGGGAAGAACAAGUGCUAGUUGAAUAAGCUGACACCUUGACGGUACCUAACCAGAAAGCCACGGCUAACUACGUGCCAGCCGCCGCAGUAA